Molecule: ribosomal RNA, 253 nt
Filed under: Turicibacter sanguinis
Lineage: Bacteria; Bacillati; Bacillota; Erysipelotrichia; Erysipelotrichales; Turicibacteraceae
Description: partial 16S ribosomal RNA
Rfam family: Bacterial small subunit ribosomal RNA
Source: RNAcentral
UACGUAGGUGGCGAGCGUUAUCCGGAAUUAUUGGGCGUAAAGAGCGCGCAGGUGGCUGAUUAAGUCUGAUGUGAAAGCCCACGGCUUAACCGUGGAGGGUCAUUGGAAACUGGUCGACUUGAGUGCAGAAGAGGGAAGUGGAAUUCCAUGUGUAGCGGUGAAAUGCGUAGAGAUAUGGAGGAACACCAGUGGCGAAGGCGGCUUCCUGGUCUGUAACUGACACUGAGGCGCGAAAGCGUGGGGAGCAAACAGG